AUGGGUGAUAGUAAUACAAGAUACUUCCAAUUGGUCGCCAAUGGGCGGCAUAGGAAGAAAUGUAUUUACAGUCUCCAACAAGAUGAGGGGCGGAUCGAAGGUCAGGAGGAGCUCAAAAAGUAUAUCACCAACUACUACAAAUCUCUAUUCGGGGCGACCGCCGAAGGGAACUUCACCCUUGAUGAGACCCGAACAAAUGAUAUCCCACAAGUCACGACUGAAGAAAACGAUAUCCUUACAUCACCAUUCUCUGAAGAGGAGGUGAGAGCUACGGUGUUCCAAAUGGAACAUAACAAAGCUCCAGGUCCAGAUGGUUUUCCCGCAGAAUUCUAUCAGAAUUUCUAG
RNAcentral lists this ribosomal RNA (345 nucleotides) under Triticum aestivum (bread wheat). RNAcentral describes it as "partial small subunit ribosomal RNA". Lineage: Eukaryota; Viridiplantae; Streptophyta; Magnoliopsida; Poales; Poaceae. The record is from RNAcentral.